Ictidomys tridecemlineatus (thirteen-lined ground squirrel) is the source of this 993-nucleotide long non-coding RNA. RefSeq lists it as uncharacterized. The record is from RefSeq and is a predicted model, not a curated record. NCBI's taxonomy places the organism in Eukaryota, Metazoa, Chordata, Mammalia, Rodentia, Sciuridae.
CGACUUGGGGGACAAAGAGGGGUGGGCCUGUCUUAAAUCCAGUGUCAGCUAACGCCUCAUCCCACGGCUUACCUAGCUCAAACCCGCCCUGGCCAGGUGGUCUCUCCUGGGCCUGACAGCCCAAAAGUUGGGUGUGGGGUGGCACCUUCAAGCGUAUUGUCUUGCUGUUGAUCCCCGUGCAGAUGAGGCUCUACAGUUCGCUGGCCGACAGCCUGCAUGUCUGCCUCCAGGGCAGUGCCAGGGCCCAGCCCGCAGACGUUUGUAUUUGAGCAGGCUGUGAUAAAGCCCACCUCGAUGUCACCUCCCUUCCAAGGCCUGAUGAAGUGAUUAGGCUCCACCCUGGAUUCCAGUAGCUUUCUCUGCCUCCCUCCCCAGCAACUGUUCUUCAGGACUUGGGGCUCAGAGCACUUUCUGCAAGCCCUCUCCUGGCACCUUGGGUUUUGCCAUACUUAAUCUGCACAACUGCUUCAGGAAGUAUGGAUUGUUUUUAUCCCCAGACAAUAGAACAAUAGGAGUUGUCGGGGCAGCUCCACAGGAACUUGCCCUGUGCAUCCUGGCUGCUCCCCAACCCUUUCCCCUCUCUUCUUUCCCCCUCCUUCCCUGGGGAGGUGGUCAGGACCAAGCAGAGACACUGCAGGCCUGAACCCUGUUGGGCCAUGCCCAGCUUUCUGGACCUGACCAGGGGGCUAACAAAGUGAAAGCAGGAGGGUCUACCACCGUCAGACAGCUUAGAGGCAGGACAGUCUCUGGGCUCCACAUUCUUGACCUUCAUCCCAAGGCCGCAGAGUGAACGCCUACCGCAGGAGGGAGCCCAGGACGGAGCCCAGGAGGUCUCAGGAAGGGGCUUGGGAGCUGGCUGGGGCUCACACCCAAGGACAGGCUCACUGCUGAUAGCUGUUAUCAGUUUUACCCAGGGGUGGCCUCUGGGGAAGAUUCUUUUGGAAAAAAACUGGUUCAAAUACAGACUCUGCCCCCUUCUCUUGGGCUACUUGC